Molecule: ribosomal RNA, 1502 nt
Filed under: Lactiplantibacillus plantarum
Lineage: Bacteria; Bacillati; Bacillota; Bacilli; Lactobacillales; Lactobacillaceae
Description: bacterial SSU rRNA
Rfam family: Bacterial small subunit ribosomal RNA
Source: RNAcentral
CUCGUUAUGCUUGUCAUGGCUGUCGCACGAACUCCGCCUUAGAUGGGGCUUGCAUCAUGAAUUACAUUUGAGUGAGUGGCGAACUGGUGAGUAACACGUGGGAAACCUGCCCAGAAGCGGGGGAUAACACCUGGAAACAGAUGCUAAUACCGCAUAACAACUUGGACCGCAUGGUCCGAGUUUGAAAGAUGGCUUCGGCUAUCACUUUUGGAUGGUCCCGCGGCGUAUUAGCUAGAUGGUGAGGUAACGGCUCACCAUGGCAAUGAUACGUAGCCGACCUGAGAGGGUAAUCGGCCACAUUGGGACUGAGACACGGCCCAAACUCCUACGGGAGGCAGCAGUAGGGAAUCUUCCACAAUGGACGAAAGUCUGAUGGAGCAACGCCGCGUGAGUGAAGAAGGGUUUCGGCUCGUAAAACUCUGUUGUUAAAGAAGAACAUAUCUGAGAGUAACUGUUCAGGUAUUGACGGUAUUUAACCAGAAAGCCACGGCUAACUACGUGCCAGCAGCCGCGGUAAUACGUAGGUGGCAAGCGUUGUCCGGAUUUAUUGGGCGUAAAGCGAGCGCAGGCGGUUUUUUAAGUCUGAUGUGAAAGCCUUCGGCUCAACCGAAGAAGUGCAUCGGAAACUGGGAAACUUGAGUGCAGAAGAGGACAGUGGAACUCCAUGUGUAGCGGUGAAAUGCGUAGAUAUAUGGAAGAACACCAGUGGCGAAGGCGGCUGUCUGGUCUGUAACUGACGCUGAGGCUCGAAAGUAUGGGUAGCAAACAGGAUUAGAUACCCUGGUAGUCCAUACCGUAAACGAUGAAUGCUAAGUGUUGGAGGGUUUCCGCCCUUCAGUGCUGCAGCUAACGCAUUAAGCAUUCCGCCUGGGGAGUACGGCCGCAAGGCUGAAACUCAAAGGAAUUGACGGGGGCCCGCACAAGCGGUGGAGCAUGUGGUUUAAUUCGAAGCUACGCGAAGAACCUUACCAGGUCUUGACAUACUAUGCAAAUCUAAGAGAUUAGACGUUCCCUUCGGGGACAUGGAUACAGGUGGUGCAUGGUUGUCGUCAGCUCGUGUCGUGAGAUGUUGGGUUAAGUCCCGCAACGAGCGCAACCCUUAUUAUCAGUUGCCAGCAUUAAGUUGGGCACUCUGGUGAGACUGCCGGUGACAAACCGGAGGAAGGUGGGGAUGACGUCAAAUCAUCAUGCCCCUUAUGACCUGGGCUACACACGUGCUACAAUGGAUGGUACAACGAGUUGCGAACUCGCGAGAGUAAGCUAAUCUCUUAAAGCCAUUCUCAGUUCGGAUUGUAGGCUGCAACUCGCCUACAUGAAGUCGGAAUCGCUAGUAAUCGCGGAUCAGCAUGCCGCGGUGAAUACGUUCCCGGGCCUUGUACACACCGCCCGUCACACCAUGAGAGUUUGUAACACCCAAAGUCGGUGGGGUAACCUUUUAGGAACCAGCCGCCUAUUGGUGGGUUGAUGCAUUAUCACAGUGCAGUAUGUACCACCUAGAGGCC